GACGAACGCUGGCGGCGUGCCUAAUACAUGCAAGUCGAACGCUUCUUUCCUCCCGAGUGCUUGCACUCAAUUGGAAAGAGGAGUGGCGGACGGGUGAGUAACACGUGGGUAACCUACCCAUCAGAGGGGGAUAACACUUGGAAACAGGUGCUAAUACCGCAUAACAGUUUAUGCCGCAUGGCAUAAGAGUGAAAGGCGCUUUCGGGUGUCGCUGAUGGAUGGACCCGCGGUGCAUUAGCUAGUUGGUGAGGUAACGGCUCACCAAGGCCACGAUGCAUAGCCGACCUGAGAGGGUGAUCGGCCACACUGGGACUGAGACACGGCCCAGACUCCUACGGGAGGCAGCAGUAGGGAAUCUUCGGCAAAGGCCGAAAGUCUGACCGAGCAACGCCGCGUGAGUGAAGAAGGUUUUCGGAUCGUAAAACUCUGUUGUUAGAGAAGAACAAGGACGUUAGUAACUGAACGUCCCCUGACGGUAUCUAACCAGAAAGCCACGGCUAACUACGUG
Molecule: ribosomal RNA, 508 nt
Filed under: uncultured bacterium
Lineage: Bacteria
Description: partial 16S ribosomal RNA
Rfam family: Bacterial small subunit ribosomal RNA
Source: RNAcentral